Molecule: ribosomal RNA, 611 nt
Filed under: uncultured bacterium
Lineage: Bacteria
Description: bacterial SSU rRNA
Rfam family: Bacterial small subunit ribosomal RNA (bases 1-518)
Source: RNAcentral
CCUACGGGAGGCAGCAGUGGGGAAUAUUGCGCAAUGGGCGAAAGCCUGACGCAGCGACGCCGCGUGAGGGAUGAAGGCCUUCGGGUUGUAAACCUCUUUCAGCAGGGACGAAAACAGACGGUACCUGCAGAAGAAGCACCGGCCAACUACGUGCCAGCAGCCGCGGUAAUACGUAGGGUGCAAGCGUUGUCCGGAAUUAUUGGGCGUAAAGAGCUCGUAGGCGGUUUGUCGCGUCGGCUGUGAAAACUCGGGGCUCAACCCCGAGCCUGCAGUCGAUACGGGCAGACUAGAGUGCGGUAGGGGAGACUGGAAUUCCUGGUGUAGCGGUGAAAUGCGCAGAUAUCAGGAGGGACACCGGUGGCGAAGGCGGGUCUCUGGGCCGUAACUGACGCUGAGGAGCGAAAGCGUGGGGAGCAAACAGGAUUAGAUACCCUGGUAGUCCACGCCGUAAACGGUGGGUGCUAGGUGUAGGUCGUAUUCCCACGCGAUCUGUGCGCAGCUACGCAUAGACACCCGCCGUCGGGUAGGUACGGCCGCGAGGACGUAAACGUUAAAGGUAAAGUUAGUAACGGUCGUGAGACGUGCCGAACGGACGACGACGAGGGAGGAGG